CGUGGGUAACCUACCCAUCAGAGGGGGAUAACACUUGGAAACAGGUGCUAAUACCGCAUAACAGUUUAUGCCGCAUGGCAUAAGAGUGAAAGGCGCUUUCGGGUGUCGCUGAUGGAUGGACCCGCGGUGCAUUAGCUAGUUGGUGGGGUAACGGCUCACCUAGGCGACGAUCCCUAGCUGGUCUGAGAGGAUGACCAGCCACACUGGAACUGAGACACGGUCCAG
RNAcentral lists this ribosomal RNA (225 nucleotides) under uncultured bacterium. RNAcentral describes it as "partial 16S ribosomal RNA". It matches the Rfam family "Bacterial small subunit ribosomal RNA", at positions 116 to 334 of the family's 1533-position model. The record is from RNAcentral.